RNAcentral lists this ribosomal RNA (293 nucleotides) under Lophodermium kumaunicum. RNAcentral describes it as "partial 18S ribosomal RNA". The stretch from base 40 to 252 matches the Rfam family "Group I catalytic intron". From Rfam's summary of the family: Group I catalytic introns are large self-splicing ribozymes. They catalyse their own excision from mRNA, tRNA and rRNA precursors in a wide range of organisms. The core secondary structure consists of 9 paired regions (P1-P9). The record is from RNAcentral. Lineage: Eukaryota; Fungi; Ascomycota; Leotiomycetes; Rhytismatales; Rhytismataceae.
UGGAAGUAAAAGUGGUAACAAGGUUUCACCUGCGGAAGCCUUUGCAACCCCCUCCGGGGAGCGCCCACGACAGUAAACAAUGGGUUGCGCUUGCAAGUCUAGGGAGGUACCUCCCGGGCGACACAACUAAAUUAUCGGGAAUGUCCAGGCUUUGGAUAAUCCGUAGCACUCUCGCAGUGUUCACAGGUCAAAUGGUUGUGGGUUCAGCUUGCUGGGCUUAAGAUAUGAUCGGGCUUUACGAGAGAUUGUAGAGAUCACACCGUUCCGUAGGUGAACCUGCGGAAGGAUCAUUA